AUGGAAAUAGUUAGACAGCAAAUAAAAGUGACAAUUAAGAUGCUUAAGAAACCCUCCAUCAUGAAAAGUGCUGUGAAUCUAUCUAGCAGGCACACUGCAGCAGGCUUGGAAGGGAGAAAUAACAGGAAAACUGAACUACAAAAAAAGCAGACAGAAAUGUACUACUCGACUUCUAAUGGUCCAAGAAACUGGAUAUAGCAUGGCAGAAAGUGACAUGAAGGUUUGUGAAAAAACCAGUUGCAUCUGGAAAGGUAUGUUCCACUGUACCAAGUACCCCAUGCACAAUGAAUGAUAAGAUAGAGCAGGCUGUAUCUACUCUGAGAAAAUCACCAGUUCCAGUAAAUGUUACAGAAUAGUACAAGGUGGCUGAGAUCCACUUGGAUCCACUCCAGGUGCGUGGAUCCACUUCCCUUACAGUUCCCUUACAGUUCCCGUACCCUCUGAUGAGAUGUAUCUCCACCUCUUCCACUGUGGUUAGGCGCUUUAUCUAUCACCUGGCUUGCCUUUGGGCCGCAUCAGACACAUCGUUGGCCCUGAAAACAUAAUUUUCCUUUGGCUUUCCAAUUUCAGAUGUGUGAAAUAAUGUAGGUUUUUGCUGCAGACUGGGCCCAGGGUAUCUAUUAGAUGGAGUGUUGGGUAUAUGAGAAUGCAAGACAUGCAGAGCUGGUGGGAUCUUGCCACACCUACCUGUAAGGAAAGGUAGGUGGAACAAUCCCUUGCUCUAGUCACGGUUUCAUUUAACUGGGAACUGAUUGAUUUCCUUCAAAAAUAUGAGAAUGAGUGAGCAUAUGGAGACUGUGAAUGAGUGAACUGUAAGCCAACUGGGACGUGAGGAGCUGAUCUGUAGAAUAAUACAGA
Molecule: long non-coding RNA, 858 nt
Filed under: Phasianus colchicus (ring-necked pheasant)
Lineage: Eukaryota; Metazoa; Chordata; Aves; Galliformes; Phasianidae
Description: lncRNA (ENSPCLG00000013473.1)
Source: RNAcentral